Molecule: ribosomal RNA, 255 nt
Filed under: uncultured bacterium
Lineage: Bacteria
Description: partial 16S ribosomal RNA
Rfam family: Bacterial small subunit ribosomal RNA
Source: RNAcentral
GACGGAGGGGGCGAGUGUUACUCAUCAUGACUGGGCGUAAAGGGCAUCUAGGCCGGAAACUAAGUCGACGUCAAAAAAUCGUGGCUUAACUGUGAAUAGACGAUCGAUACUGGAUUUCUUAGAGUGCAAGAGAGGAUAGUGGAAUUUCUAGUGUAGAGAUGAAAUUCGGAAAGAUUAGAAGGACCUCCGGAUGCAAAAGCGACUAUCUGGAUUGUUGACUGACGCUGUAGUGCGAAAGCAUGGGCAUCAAACAGG